This 141-nucleotide non-coding RNA is filed under the name Limnothrix sp. P13C2. RNAcentral also lists the same sequence under 1 other name. Lineage: Bacteria; Bacillati; Cyanobacteriota; Cyanophyceae; Pseudanabaenales; Pseudanabaenaceae. The record is from RNAcentral.
AGCUCGUGAUUCAACUGCGGUUCUGGUGGAGACCAGCCACCAGAGGUAACGGGGAAAGUCCGGUGCAAGUCCGGCGCUGUCCCGCAACUGUGAUGGGCGAUCGCCCUGAGUCAGGAUGCCCGCCGCGCGAUGUUUACCCCU